This 73-nucleotide transfer RNA is filed under the name Ixodes scapularis (black-legged tick). RNAcentral describes it as "tRNA-Thr for anticodon GGU". The stretch from base 10 to 65 matches the Rfam family "tRNA", at positions 10 to 63 of the family's 71-position model. Rfam says of the family: Transfer RNA (tRNA) molecules are approximately 80 nucleotides in length. Their secondary structure includes four short double-helical elements and three loops (D, anti-codon, and T loops). Further hydrogen bonds mediate the characteristic L-shaped molecular structure. tRNAs have two regions of fundamental functional importance: the anti-codon, which is responsible for specific mRNA codon recognition, and the 3' end, to which the tRNAs corresponding amino acid is attached (by aminoacyl-tRNA synthetases). tRNAs cope with the degeneracy of the genetic code in two manners: having more than one tRNA (with a specific anti-codon) for a particular amino acid; and 'wobble' base-pairing, i.e. permitting non-standard base-pairing at the 3rd anti-codon position. Lineage: Eukaryota; Metazoa; Arthropoda; Arachnida; Ixodida; Ixodidae. The record is from RNAcentral.
CCUGGUUUUGCUCAGUUGGUAGAGCGCUCCAGUGGUGAUGGAGAGGUCCCUGGUUCGAUACCAAGGAUGGGCG